This 517-nucleotide ribosomal RNA is filed under the name Alteromonas marina. RNAcentral describes it as "bacterial SSU rRNA". It matches the Rfam family "Bacterial small subunit ribosomal RNA", at positions 369 to 877 of the family's 1533-position model. The record is from RNAcentral. Lineage: Bacteria; Pseudomonadati; Pseudomonadota; Gammaproteobacteria; Alteromonadales; Alteromonadaceae.
CAAUGGGGGAAACCCUGAUGCAGCCAUGCCGCGUGUGUGAAGAAGGCCUUCGGGUUGUAAAGCACUUUCAGUUGUGAGGAAAAGUUAGUAGUUAAUACCUGCUAGCCGUGACGUUAACAACAGAAGAAGCACCGGCUAACUCCGUGCCAGCAGCCGCGGUAAUACGGAGGGUGCGAGCGUUAAUCGGAAUUACUGGGCGUAAAGCGCACGCAGGCGGUUUGUUAAGCUAGAUGUGAAAGCCCCGGGCUCAACCUGGGAUGGUCAUUUAGAACUGGCAGACUAGAGUCUUGGAGAGGGGAGUGGAAUUCCAGGUGUAGCGGUGAAAUGCGUAGAUAUCUGGAGGAACAUCAGUGGCGAAGGCGACUCCCUGGCCAAAGACUGACGCUCAUGUGCGAAAGUGUGGGUAGCGAACAGGAUUAGAUACCCUGGUAGUCCACACCGUAAACGCUGUCUACUAGCUGUGUGUGCCUUUAAGGCUGUGCGUAGCGAAGCUAACGCGAUAAGUAGACCGCCUGGG